CCAGACUCCGGGAGGCAGCAGUGGGGGAUAUUGCACAAUGGGGGAAACCCUGAUGCAGCGACGCCGCGUGAGUGAAGAAGUAUUUCGGUAUGUAACGCUCUAUCAGCAGGGAAGAAGAUGACAGUACCUGAGUAAGAAGCCCCGGCUAACUACGUGCCAGCAGCCGCGGUAAUACGUAGGGGGCAAGCGUUAUCCGGAUUUACUGGGUGUAAAGGGAGCGUAGACGGUUAUGUAAGUCUGGAGUGAAAGCCCGGGGCCCAACCCCGGGACUGCUUUGGAAACUGUACGGCUGGAGUGCAGGAGAGGUAAGUGGAAUUCCUAGUGUAGCGGUGAAAUGCGUAGAUAUUAGGAGGAACACCAGUGGCGAAGGCGGCUUACUGGACUGUAACUGACGUUGAGGCUCGAAAGCGUGGGGAGCAAACAGGAUUAGAUACCCGCGUAA
RNAcentral lists this ribosomal RNA (442 nucleotides) under uncultured bacterium. RNAcentral's name for it is "bacterial SSU rRNA". It matches the Rfam family "Bacterial small subunit ribosomal RNA", at positions 331 to 793 of the family's 1533-position model. The record is from RNAcentral.